This 686-nucleotide long non-coding RNA is filed under the name Mytilus galloprovincialis (Mediterranean mussel). Lineage: Eukaryota; Metazoa; Mollusca; Bivalvia; Mytilida; Mytilidae. The record is from RNAcentral.
CAAAAAUUUAAUAAUUGGGGUUCUUUGAUAUGCCGAAUCUAACUAUGUAUGUAGAUUCUUAAUUUUUGGUCCCGUUUUCAAAUUGGUCUACAUUAAGGUCCAAAGGGUCCAAAAUUAAACUUAGUUUGAUUUUAACAAAAAUUGAAUCCUUGGGGUUCUUUGAUAUGCUGAAUUUAAAAAUGUACUUAGAUUUUUAUACGACCGCAAAAUUUGAAAAAUUUUUCGUCGUAUAUUGCUAUCACGUUGGCUUCGGCGUCGGCGUCGUCGUCGGCGUCCGAAUACUUUUAGUUUUCGCACUCUAACUUUAGUAAAAGUGAAUGGAAAUCUAUGAAAUUUUAACACAAGGUUCAUGACCACAAAAGGAAGGUUGGUAUUGAUUUUGGGAGUUUUGGUCCCAACAUUUUAGGAAUUAGGGGCCAAAAAGGGCCCAAAUAAGCAUUUUCUUGGUUUUCGCACUAUAACUUUAGUUUAAGUUAAUAGAAAUCUAUGAAAUUUUGACACAAGGUUUAUGACCACAAAAGAACGGUUGGGAUUGAUUUUGGGAGUUUUGGUUUCAACAGUUUAGGAAUUAGGGGCCAAAAAAGGCCCCAAAUAAGCAUUAUUCUUGGUUUUCGCACAAUAACUUUAGUUUAAGUAAAUAGAAAUCAAUGAAAUUUAAACACAAGGUUUAUGACCAUAAAAGGAAG